Molecule: ribosomal RNA, 484 nt
Filed under: uncultured bacterium
Lineage: Bacteria
Description: partial 16S ribosomal RNA
Rfam family: Bacterial small subunit ribosomal RNA
Source: RNAcentral
AUUGAACGCUGGCGGCAGGCCUAACACAUGCAAGUCGAGCGGAUGAAGGGAGCUUGCUCCUGGAUUCAGCGGCGGACGGGUGAGUAAUGCCUAGGAAUCUGCCUGGUAGUGGGGGAUAACGCCCGGAAACGGGCGCUAAUACCGCAUACGUCCUGAGGGAGAAAGUGGGGGAUCUUCGGACCUCACGCUAUCAGAUGAGCCUAGGUCGGAUUAGCUAGUUGGUGGGGUAAAGGCCUACCAAGGCGACGAUCCGUAACUGGUCUGAGAGGAUGAUCAGUCACACUGGAACUGAGACACGGUCCAGACUCCUACGGGAGGCAGCAGUGGGGAAUAUUGGACAAUGGGCGAAAGCCUGAUCCAGCCAUGCCGCGUGUGUGAAGAAGGUCUUCGGAUUGUAAAGCACUUUAAGGUGGGAGGAAGGGCAGUAAGUUAAUACCUUGCUGUUUUGACGUUACCAACAGAAUAAGCACCGGCUAACUUCGUG